GGAGGGGUGGCAGAGCGGCUGAAUGCACCGGUCUUGAAAACCGGCGGGCUUACGCCCACGUGGGUUCGAAUCCCACCCCCUCCG
This 84-nucleotide transfer RNA is filed under the name Gemmatimonadales bacterium. Its description in RNAcentral is "tRNA-Ser". It matches the Rfam family "tRNA". From Rfam's summary of the family: Transfer RNA (tRNA) molecules are approximately 80 nucleotides in length. Their secondary structure includes four short double-helical elements and three loops (D, anti-codon, and T loops). Further hydrogen bonds mediate the characteristic L-shaped molecular structure. tRNAs have two regions of fundamental functional importance: the anti-codon, which is responsible for specific mRNA codon recognition, and the 3' end, to which the tRNAs corresponding amino acid is attached (by aminoacyl-tRNA synthetases). tRNAs cope with the degeneracy of the genetic code in two manners: having more than one tRNA (with a specific anti-codon) for a particular amino acid; and 'wobble' base-pairing, i.e. permitting non-standard base-pairing at the 3rd anti-codon position. Lineage: Bacteria; Pseudomonadati; Gemmatimonadota; Gemmatimonadia; Gemmatimonadales. The record is from RNAcentral. RNAcentral also lists the same sequence under 2 other names.